Chlorocebus sabaeus (green monkey) is the source of this 563-nucleotide non-coding RNA. The record is from RefSeq and is a predicted model, not a curated record. NCBI's taxonomy places the organism in Eukaryota, Metazoa, Chordata, Mammalia, Primates, Cercopithecidae.
UUCAGAGGAAUUACAAAGAUCAAGAUGAAUUCAGUGAGGCUUCCCAUAGGACUGUUCAAAGAUCUCCAGAAAUUCAGUGGAGUUUCAGGAAAAGUAUACCAAGUCAUGUGAGAGAGACACUUUGGGCCUAAGAAAUGAAGGCCAAUUCAUGCGAAGUCAGUCCUCUUAUAACCACAGUAGGAUAGAACUUGUUUCUGAAACCUUCAGAAGGACCAGCCCCUAGACAAACAGCUCCAGUGAAGUCAGCUCUAAGGACAUAUUGAGGUAAGAACUAGGGAAAAUUCACAUGUUCUAUUUCCCUAUUGCUUUUAAAAUCCAAUUCAAAAUGUAUUGCCUAUCAAGAGAGAAGUCUCUAUUACUUUGUGAAAAUGAUUUAUACGUCUCCGGAUAUGUAUUUUUUGGUCCCCCUUUUCCCCUCCCAUUUACUCCUUCAGCCACAGGUAAAUACUUUUUGCCAUGACCUCUCUCUAUCUGUGAAAUCAAACUAAUAUGCUAACUUUUGUUUACUUUUCUUGUGCAACACUGCUGAUGGGAAACAUUUGGUCCUCCUUCAUCUAUUUCUG